CCUACGGGUGGCAGCAGUAGGGAAUAUUGCUCAAUGGGGGAAACCCUGAAGCAGCAACGCCGCGUGGAGGAUGAAGGUUUUCGGAUUGUAAACUCCUUUUGUUAGAGAAGAAAAUGACGGUACCUAACGAAUAAUCACCGGCUAACUCCGUUCCAGCAGCCGCGGUAAUACGGAGGGUGCAAGCGUUACUCGGAAUCACUGGGCGUAAAGGGCGCGUAGGCGGGAUUGCAAGUCAGUUGUGAAAUCCUAGGGCUUAACCAUAGAACUGCAUUUGAAACUGUUAUUCUAGAGUAUGGGAGAGGUAGGUGGAAUUCUUGGUGUAGGGGUGAAAUCCGUAGAGAUCAAGAGGAAUACUCAUUGCGAAGGCGGCCUGCUAGAACGUAACUGACGCUGAUGCGCGAAAGCGUGGGGAGCAAACAGGAUUAGAUACCCCAGUAGUC
This 440-nucleotide ribosomal RNA is filed under the name uncultured bacterium. Its description in RNAcentral is "partial 16S ribosomal RNA". It matches the Rfam family "Bacterial small subunit ribosomal RNA", at positions 338 to 795 of the family's 1533-position model. The record is from RNAcentral.